Molecule: long non-coding RNA, 1940 nt
Organism: Phacochoerus africanus (Common warthog)
Lineage: Eukaryota; Metazoa; Chordata; Mammalia; Artiodactyla; Suidae
Exons: 2
Source: RefSeq, a predicted model, not a curated record
UUUCACUUGGGAUGUUUUCAAGGUUCAUCCGUGUUAUAGAACAACUUUGUUUUAGCAAGAAAAACAAUUACCAUGCAGAUUCUGUAGAAUGAUCGAAUCGUCGCCAUUUCUAUUGCACAACAUCAGACCGAUUCGGACUUAGCUGCCCCUAACUAAUAUGCUUCAAGAGGUGCUAGUAUUUAUAAUGAAUUUUAUGGAAUCAAACACUCUCGCCUUUGUUCAUUUUGCUGAAAGAAAAAAAAUCACGUUGCAAGAUCGUGUUGUUGUACAAAUAGUAUUUCUAAAAUGUACUCUUAGUCAAUGCCAAAGCUCUUCCUAAAUUGCUAAAUACGGCUUGAAAAUCAGAUCAUGUAUUUUUGUAUGAUAUCAUUACUAAAUCGACAGAUUCAGUUAGAAGCAGAGCGUGGCAUAUCUUGCUUUUCGAGACCAGUUAAAACUGUAAAGCGUCACAGCUGAUCUGAGGCGCUUCCACUGGGAAACACUGACCUCCGCGUUGUCCUGGGGCGUCAGGAUUCGACUCAAGGCUGGAGGAAAAUUCUCAAGGCACAGCUGUCUGGGCGGGGAGAAGAGUCGAGUGACAGUGGCCCACCAGGCAGUGUCUUCACCUUGGGGGUGGUUUCCCGCGUGCGCACGUAUGUAAAACUCAAAAGCGUGUGCUCUUUAAAUGUGUGCACCUUACGGUGUAUUCACUGUGCCUCAGCGACGCUGCAAAAAAUAGUCUAGUCGGCUAUCUAUUAGAUGUCAGGCCUCGGGUCAGAGUGGUUUCCUGUGUGGGUUUCACUUCUUUAAGUGGUUAGACUUUGGCAAAAAUCUGGCUGUUUUUUCUUCCUGAUCCUUUUUAAAGACCAUUUAAUUUUGGCAGUUUGGCUCCCUUUUUAUCUUAAUGGGCACCUAUACCACAGACAUUUUAGAAGUAAAUUGUAAUCCACAUUGUAAAUAAACCAUACAUUUCAACCCUGCAAAAUCUUUUUCUGUGUCUAUGAAUGAAUUAUAAUCUUUAAAUGUAAUUUUUUAAAAAGUGCGUCCUGGUAAGAAAUGCCUGCAGAAAUGUACACAUAAUGACUUAGAAAUCAGAUUCAUUUUUUAACUUGGAUACCAAUUGAUGUAGAAAUAUUAAUAGUAGUGGCUUUACAGGAAAACUUUGGGCGAUGUUUCCAGAUUCAGGCGCCACGCCCCGCAGCGUUCAGUGGCCUGGUCUGAAGGAAUUAGGGGACGAAGGGUCCCUGCUCUGCCUGGCGAUCCACAGCGGGGACGAACACAGUAGGGAGGGGCCCUGUCCCUGCCUCGACUCUCAUCUCCCGCUGCUCUGCUUUCUGUGUCCCGCGUUCUCCUUGUGCAGAAGGCGGAAUGGGCGGUGCUGGGCCGUGAGGCCUGUUUAAAGGAUGGAUAGUAAUGGCUCUGUCAUGGAAAAACGUGUACUUUCUAGGCGCUAGCGCGGUCAAGGCGGCGCGUUUGCGGUGGCGGGGCCGUUUGUGGGCUGACGCCACCCUCUCCCGCAGAAGGAUGCUGUGCAGCUGUCUGCCAGGCAGGAGCUCCGGGCCAGGCCCACUCGCGCUGGAUCCUGGUGAAGCCCUUCGGCUUUGAGCAGGAAAGAGACCAGGAAUAGUUAUGAGAAGAGAUUGCCAGUGGACUCUCCCUGAGCGGCGCAGGCAGGGUCCUCUGGCUUUGGAACCCAGGACCAAGCCUGGCUCGUGCUCACUGGUCCCUUCUGCCGAGAGCGGCGCAGAUACUGCGGCGGUGUCCUCUGUUUCUAGACGGGUCGGCCAGCUUCUGACUUCUACGACUUGAUCCUUGCCGGCGGGGCCUCGGCCAACAUUGGGUAUUGCUCAUGUGGGACAUGACGACCCCUCUAAGAGUUUACAGUGUUUAAAAGUUCUUACUGAGCUUCUUGUAUAAAUUUCAUGGGGAAAUCAUGAAAUAUUAAACCACCUGAAAUAGUA